UACGUAGGUCCCGAGCGUUGUCCGGAUUUAUUGGGCGUAAGGCGAGCGCAGGUGGUUUAUUAAGUCUGGUGUAAAAGGCAGUGGCUCAACCAUUGUAUGCAUUAGAAACUGGUAGACUUGAGUGCAGGAGAGGAGAGUGGAAUUCCAUGUGUAGCGGUGAAAUGCGUAGAUAUAUGGAGGAACACCGGUGGCGAAAGCGGCUCUCUGGCCUGUAACUGACACUGAGGCUCGAAAGCGUGGGGAGCAAGCAGG
This 252-nucleotide ribosomal RNA is filed under the name uncultured bacterium. RNAcentral's name for it is "partial 16S ribosomal RNA". It matches the Rfam family "Bacterial small subunit ribosomal RNA", at positions 524 to 776 of the family's 1533-position model. The record is from RNAcentral.